RNAcentral lists this long non-coding RNA (3679 nucleotides) under Homo sapiens (human). RNAcentral's name for it is "HSALNT0265035". The record is from RNAcentral. Lineage: Eukaryota; Metazoa; Chordata; Mammalia; Primates; Hominidae.
GUUUCUUUUGCCUUUUUUGAGUUUGAAACAUUUGCUUACAAGAGUUGAUGAAAUAACUAACUGAAUUUGAACCCGUAGCCAUGGCCAGAAGCUAGUCUAAGACCCGUACCUGUGUCAGCUCUUGUAAUCCCCACAUCUCUUUCAUUAUUCCCAUUUUACAGUUGAGGAAGUUGAGAUAGAGAAAUGAAGUCGCUGUCAGGAACUGUGAAGGGUCUGGAAUCUUACUCUACUAACCAGUAGACAGUUAGUCUGCUGCAGUAUCCUGGGUGCUGGCAGGAGACAGGAGAUGCUGGGCCAGGGUCAGGGCUGAGCUUUAUUACAACAACAGCAGGAUCUAGUGUCAGCGUUUAUGCCAGCUGCCUAACCUUAACUUCAAAAGGUGACACCUUCACACACAGUGGGUUGUGCUACAGAAGAAUCCCAAGUGUAGAGAAUCCAAAUCUUCUGUCUUUGCCCUGAGAGAGCCACUCUCUCUCUUCCAGGGUGGCUGACUAUAGAAACAUCCUUGGAAAGAGUCCUAGAACAGAGGUGGCCAAUACCACGGCUCACCAGCUAUGAAGAAACAAUAGAGACCCACAGAGAAUUGUCUCCCAAAAGGAACUUAACCAAAAUCGCUCCGUUAGGAGGUGGUGGUGUCAGGAUUCAAAGCCAGGCCAUCCGGUCCCAGAGCCUGUUCUUAUAGCCCUGCUCCCACCAUGCUGCCCCCAGGACAACUCAGUGCAGGAAGGAGGUGCUGAGCUGUGGCGCCAUGUCUAACUGGUCACCAGCGGCUUCACACAAUGAUUAUUUUACUUGUGAAUGUGCACUGAACAUUGCUCUCAUUUGAAUCCCUCCCCUUCUCACCACUCCAGCCUGCUGAAUCAGAAACUGAGGGUGCAGCCAAGAAAUCUAGAUGUGUGCCAGAGAAGAUUCUUCACCACUGCACAGAUGAAGCCACCUAGAAGGCAACUGACUUGCUCAAGAUCAAAGAAAGUGACUGGGCCAUGGCUCAAAACUAAGAAUCCUGGGACUCACUAAUUUGUUUGUUCAUUCAUUCAUUUAUUCAACAGUCUAUAUUGGCGACUGUGCUAGUUUCUGGACACAUACGGACAAAUGUCACUGAGCCCUGACGAAAGGAUUUACAGUCUGCUGAGAAAAUGGAUGGACAGACAGACACACAGCCACAACAAUGUGGAGAGUGCUUACAUACAGGUGGCAACAAGGUCUCCUGAGAUGAUCCAGCAAGAAUUCCCAAGCCUUUGGUGGAAGGGAUAGCUGAGGAGAGUUUCCAGGGAAGCUUGGUUGGUGGUCUGGGACAUGUAGGAGAUGUCCAGGCAACACCAGACAGCUUAUAUCAAGGUGUACCUAGAGAACAAACCUGGAGAAGCAGAGUGUUCUGAGAAUCUCAAGGAAGGCCUAGUACCCAGACAUAAUGCCCCAUUCAAGACCUUGCAAGUCUUUUUCAUCGUAGUCUUAUUGUCCAUUAACAGGUUAUUCAGUUACAUUGGAGCAGUAUCUGAGGGCAAAGCCAGCACUCCAGACCCUGCACCAUUUUUGGUGGUAUUCCAGAGAAAAUGGGAUUUGGUCUAGGGGUCUUGUCUUCCUUUUCUGGGCCAAGCACAGGGAUAGGCUUUGCCUUCUCUGUGGUAUAAUAAAUGGGGUAGAACCCAAGGAAAUUGUUGGUGGGGGUUGCUCGGUAUGUGAAGUGGGAAACUUUAUGCCCCAGAGCUCAGCAUUACCAGAACCAGGUCUGGCUUCCGUCCUGUGCAAGUUAUUAGAGGCCUGACCCUUUCAAGCCAUUUGACCUCUGCAUCUCUCAUAUUUGUACGGCGGCUAUGCCUCCCUCAUUGGGUUGCUGUGAGGCUUCAAGACAAUAAUUUAUGUGAACAGGAACAGCGAGAUACCAGCUGCUUCACUGAUGCUGUCACAGUGGAGGGAAGUAGGGGGCUGGAAGUGGACGACUGUGCUCGCUAUGGCUGUGUUCUCUCCAAACCCUUGACUCCAGACAUGUGUUUCACUAGCUGUGGGCUGAGGGCAGAUCAGGAGUGAGAGAGCAUGAGAGGGGCCUGCUGGGACUCCCUGGCCUUGCAACUCUAUUCAGUUUUUGGUUUUCUUUCUGGCACACAUUGAUGCAAGUGUUGCUGCUCAACAAGGAAACAGAAAUACCUCGUGGAUAACUGACGGCAAAUAAUGUUCUCCUCACAUUUCUUACUACCUCCUGAAGAGGGCUGCUUCUGUAUGAGGACAUGGAAAGAGGAAGCCCUCCCUGCCCAGAGGUGGAUCCCAGAGGGAGCCAAGCAGUGGCUGUGCUUUGAUUGGAGAGUGACGACCCUGUGCAUAAUCAUUGAUCCCCCCAACUCCGGCACCCAUUUGGCUCCACCUAGAGUGGGGUCAAUUUCCUUACACAGGCUGCUUCAGAUGCCCCUCUUUCCCCAAGAUGAUGAUCACCCAUUUUAGCAAACUCACCACUCUGAAAAUCAGUCCUUAUUAACAAGAAUAACAGACUGUAUUUUGGCAUUUUGGGGUCAACAAUAUGGAAGAGAGUAAAAAUAUGGAGAAAAAUCUCUGGAUAUCCAGGAAUGUAGGAUUACAAACUGCUAUGAUAAAUGACUUAAAAGAUUACUUUAAAGCUUUUUAUUUGAAAACAAUUUCAAACUUGCAGAAAAGUUUCAAGAAUAGUACAAAAUAUAUCCUGUGUACUUUAUUCAGAUUUGCCUAUUGCUAACAUUUUCCUACAUUUAUUAUUUCUUUCCACCCCCUUUGCAUAUAUACAUUUUUUCCUGAACCCAUUCAAGGAUAAAUUACCUUCAUACUUGAGAGUAAUUUACACAUCUCAUGGUUACUUACCCCUAAAUACCUUAAUGUGUAUUUCCUAAGAUUAGGGACCUCCUUUUACUUAACUAUUGCAUGAUUGUCAACUUCAGGAAGUUUCAUGUUCUUUAAUUUAUUGUCUGUAAGGUGUGUAAGAACAGUAAAAUGUGUGUUUCUUUUUUUUUAGUAAAAGGGUAUAUGAAGGCAUGGAAAUGUAAACUUUUGCUGAGGGUUAAAGGAUUGUUUUAAGUUAGAUAAGGAAAGCUGAAGGUUCAAAAAAGUGGUGGAAAAAUUGUGAAAAUUAAUCUUACAGAAGAGGUUCUCUGUGUGAACAUGUUGACUAAAUUCAAAAGGGUUAUAAGGUUUUUGCUUCUUUAAAAUUUCUGAGUCGUGAUUUUGGCAAAAUAAAUAACUUGUGGUAAUCUGUAAUUCCCAAAAUCAAACUUCAUUUUCAAAAUUGUCUUCCCUGGCACCUGGCUUUUCAAAUACUUCAGAAGGCCCCCGAAAUGUCCAGAAAAGAGAGGUAAACAGGAUUAUUUGACAUGUUCAGGUACAUGGGAUUGCCAAAAUGAUGCUCAAUCUUCUUUAGGUUACAUUUUUGUGAAUAAUACUAAUAUAUAUUCUGAAAUUUUAUAGGAUUUCUAAAAUUCUAAUGUCUAAGUAUAUGUUACCAAUUACAAUUAUAGUUAAGUUAUUGUAAACCACAGAAAUAACUAAAAGGCAUACGCCGUAUAUGACUUUGUAACUUUACUUCAUCCUCUUCAUUUACAUAGGGUGUGCCCCAAGUAGAGGGUAGUUAAACUCACGAAAACUCUGUAACAGGGCCUUUGAGCUCCUACGCUCAGGCCUGCUCCCACACUGUGGAGUGUACUUUCAUUUUCAAUAAAAC